CUUGUUGGUGAGGUAAUAGCUUACCAAGGCAAUGAUCAGUAGCUGGUCUGAGAGGAUGAUCAGCCACACUGGGACUGAGACACGGCCCAGACUCCUACGGGAGGCAGCAGUGAGGAAUUUUCCGCAAUGGGCGAAAGCCUGACGGAGCAAUGCCGCGUGAAGGAUGAAGGCCUGUGGGUUGUAAACUUCUUUUCUCAGAGAAGAAUUUUGACGGUAUCUGAGGAAUAAGCAUCGGCUAACUCUGUGCCAGCAGCCGCGGUAAGACAGAGGAUGCAAGCGUUAUCCGGAAUGAUUGGGCGUAAAGCGUCUGUAGGUGGUUUGAGAAGUCUCUUGUCAAAGAUCAGGGCUUAACCCUGGACCGGCAAGAGAAACUAUUAGACUAGAGUUCGGUAGGGGCAGAGGGAAUUCCCGGUGGAGCGGUGA
This 423-nucleotide ribosomal RNA is filed under the name Chlorella sp. HvMH. RNAcentral describes it as "bacterial SSU rRNA". It matches the Rfam family "Bacterial small subunit ribosomal RNA", at positions 245 to 684 of the family's 1533-position model. The record is from RNAcentral. Lineage: Eukaryota; Viridiplantae; Chlorophyta; Trebouxiophyceae; Chlorellales; Chlorellaceae.